UAUGAGAGGAUGAGGUGGCAAAAUGAUUUUAUUAUGCCAUUUAAAAAUGGGAAGUGAUUUACCAUGCAACUUAAAUAUUUUGACUAUCAUUACAGCAACUCUGUAAGUAAUUAAUUCUGGCACCAUACUUUACAAAGAGCUUUGACAAAUUGGAGCCCAUCCAGAGGAGAACAUACAAUCCUGUGAAGGGUCUGGAAACUACAACUUGUAAGGAAUGAUGCAAAGAGAUGAAGGAAUCAUUGUAACAUAACAAUGGUCAGGAAGUCCCCUGCUCCCAUGCCCAGAAUUGACCUACAGUCCUCAAUCCAAUAAUCUCAAGCCCAGAUGAUUACCACUCACAUGGAAGGGAAUCCAGAGGCAACAAGGAAGGAGUGCAAAAACUAAUAAUAAUAAUAAUAAAAGAAACCACCAAGCCCACCUUUCCAUUGCAGAGUUUAGCCAGAACUGAGAUGGGAUGAAUAAAAUGAGAACAGCUUGCAUAUUGAAGUACAUAUUAAAGUUUGUAUAUUUUACAAAGGAUUCUUCCUUAUUCCUUUUCUAUUUAUCCAAACCCCACCUACUCUUGUUUUAUUACUUGGAAAUGAGAUUGACUAUAACAUGACAAGCUGUGGAGUCUGCCUGAAAUUUCACCUAAGGCAAGGGAAGAACAAUUCAGCAGAAUAGGUUUAAAGCGACAGGAAUGAAGAAUAAAGGUGUUUUCUGCUUGCUUUUAACAAGUCCAAUUUAUUUAAUAAAGCGUGGUAUUGUGUUAGUGUUUAUGCACACAUUCUGCAAUUAGUACUUUGGAGCUCAUAACUGCAUUUCUCCAAAUAACUGCAAUGAUGCCUUAUGUUUAUAUUAACAACUUAUAUGUGUCAGACAUUGUGCUAAAUACUUUUACAAGCAUUAUUCCAUUCGAGUUUAGUGAUCAUCUUAAGAAAUUCAUUAAAACUAUUUUAUAGUUAAGGAAACAAAGCCUAGGUUAAAUAAGUUGAGUAAGAUCACACAGAAAAUGGCGGAGGCAGAACCUGAGCUCACGUAGCCUGUCUGCAAAGCCUAAAUUCUUAUUCAAUAGGCUUCCCUCGUAAAACAUUGGACUAGGCAUUAUAUAAAAUAAUCAAAUAGUUAAUGUUUUUAAUGUCUAUGCCUAUGCCAAUAUCCAUUUUUAUAAUAUUGUUUUCCAUUUUAAAUAUUCAGAAAUGGUCACAUUUUCUAUUUUUAUCUAGGUGGCAGGAAUGGAAUUUUCUGCAAUGAAGGAAAUGAUCUAUAUCUGUGCUGAUUGACAUAGCAGUCAGUAGCCACAUGUGACUGCUGAGCACUUAAAUGUGGCUGGUGCAGUGGAGGAACUAAAUUUUUACUUUAAUUUUAUUUAAAUUUAUUUAACUUGAAACUUAAAUGGUCAUGUGGGGCUAGUGGCUAUCACAUUGGAAUAACCAAAGAUAAUACUGCAGGCCUAUCUUGGCCUGUCUGUCUAUUGGCAAAUCCAGGUAUACUAUAUAUCACACACCCUUAAUAGAGACUCUAGAUUACCUGAAAAAUAAAGUUCUAGAUUAAGGAGGGGGUAAGUGACUCAUUUCAGCCAAAAAUCCUCCCCCCAAAAAUCUACCUAAUAUCUAGGAUGACACCAAAAGUUUCAAAGAUUGCUUUGGAUAUAGGGAUUUGGAUUUCCAAUAUAUUUUAGGAUGUUCUCACAGAAUCCAAGCUGAUGGACGUUUUUAUAUCACCAAAGUGAUUGUCAUAAAACCUUUUUUUCAAAAUUAAAAAAAGGAAUAACUUCCCAGUGGUUAGACUUAGAUUGAGCUAAAUAUUUACUAUCUAAUAAUCAAGACACUUACCAACAGCUAGAACAUUCACUUGUUCUAGGCAACAUUUUAAGACUGACAUUCUGAAAACAACUUAAAAGACAAUCAAGACAAAGAAGGUUCUGAAAAGAUGGUCAUAUGAGAGGACAUGGAAUUGUUAGCCAAAAGAGAAGGCACAGAUGUCGUAUAGGUGCUACUCUUAAGCAAUUGAAUGCUUGUCACAGAGGAGGAGAGUCUUAUUCUAUGCUAUCCAAAGAGAAGGACUGAGAUCAAAAGAGAGGACUUGGGAAAUAGGAAACCCCAAUGUAAGCAAGAGCAGGAAGUUGAGCUAUUCGGCAGAAUUCACUAUUUAAGUAGUGCACUCCAGCCACUAAUUAUGUUCAAACAGAUUGCAGAAAAUUUAAAAUUAUAGUUAAAAUG
Sapajus apella (tufted capuchin) is the source of this 2201-nucleotide long non-coding RNA. RefSeq lists it as uncharacterized. NCBI's taxonomy places the organism in Eukaryota, Metazoa, Chordata, Mammalia, Primates, Cebidae. The record is from RefSeq and is a predicted model, not a curated record. The transcript has 4 exons.